Molecule: ribosomal RNA, 484 nt
Filed under: uncultured bacterium
Lineage: Bacteria
Description: partial 16S ribosomal RNA
Rfam family: Bacterial small subunit ribosomal RNA
Source: RNAcentral
AUUGAACGCUGGCGGCAGGCCUAACACAUGCAAGUCGAGCGGAUGAAGGGAGCUUGCUCCUGGAUUCAGCGGCGGACGGGUGAGUAAUGCCUAGGAAUCUGCCUGGUAGUGGGGGAUAACGUCCGGAAACGGGCGCUAAUACCGCAUACGUCCUGAGGGAGAAAGUGGGGGAUCUUCGGACCUCACGCUCUCAGAUGAGCCGAGGUCGGAUUAGCUAGUUGGCGGGGUAAAGGCCUACCAAGGCGACGAUCCGUAACUGGUCUGAGAGGAUGAUCAGUCACACUGGAACUGAGACACGGUCCAGACUCCUACGGGAGGCAGCAGUGGGGAAUAUUGGACAAUGGGCGAAAGCCUGAUCCAGCCAUGCCGCGUGUGUGAAGAAGGUCUUCGGGUUGUAAAGCACUUUAGGUUGGGAGGAAGGGCAGUAAGUUAAUACCUUGCUGUUUUGACGUUACCAACAGAAUAAGCACCGGCUAACUUCGUG